Long non-coding RNA from Peromyscus leucopus (white-footed mouse), 978 nucleotides. RefSeq lists it as uncharacterized. The transcript is spliced from 2 exons. Lineage: Eukaryota; Metazoa; Chordata; Mammalia; Rodentia; Cricetidae. The record is from RefSeq and is a predicted model, not a curated record.
AGGGCCCUUCGGAAAGAGGCGGAGCCUACCUCGCAUCAGGACCAGUCGGACUGCACCUGCAUCCUUAGCUCAGAGCAUCCCUGGAGCAUCUAAGAGGAAAGCGCAGCUAGCAACCAGAGAUCGGACUGUCGCAGGGGCAGUCUGCCAGGCACCUUCCCCUCCCCUGAUCCGGAGGUCUACAGCCGCGGCCUCGGUACCGACCGAGAUUCCCAAAGUUGUCUGACCUCUGCAAAAGUGUUGCUACAGCAGCCUCUGAUUACAACAUGGCUGAGAUCACAAAUAUACGCCCCAGCUUUGAUCAGAAAUUCUCGGGGCAGUCUUUGCAGAAGCAGAAAGAAGAUCCUCUUCCACAGCCAGUCUACCUCCCUAUUUAGACUUGAUAACCAACAAGAUGGAAAACCCUGUUUCACAAAGAUAUGUUGUUGCAAAUGGAAGAAGUCAUCCCAACACAGUCUCAGACAAAACCGAAAUGACUGCAGCUGCUUGAUCCAGAAUUUUGUACUGGCAUUGAAGGAACUCAACUCUCACGGUAUCGCUUCUCCUAAGUGAAACGAAUUCCUCUUGUGCUGUCUCAGGAAUAUUUUCAAGUUUGACUGUGAAUGAGUUUCUGGCAAGUGUAAAUGGAGUGUCUACAAACGUGCAAGUGUCCUUUCACAGAAAUAAUCAUUGUAAUCUUUUUUUCUGGUUAAAUGUCAUGUACCUCAAAGAAAACAGAUAGGGUAGGCAACAUGCAAAUUUUAUUUUCAUCCUUUUUUUUUUUUUUUUUUUUUUUUGCCAAAGCUGAAGUUUCAUUUGGAAUGAUAUGGUAUUUUCAGUAAAAUUGAGGCAUGUUGCAUUGGACCUUGCAGUGAUAAAUUUAACUCACUCAAGAUGGCAAAGAUGAUAACCAAUUAAGCUACUUUCUGUUUUAAUUUUAACCACUCAAAAUGCUUUGAACUGCCAUCUUGCUUUCUGAUUAAAAACAUUUUGAGUCCACCA